Molecule: ribosomal RNA, 250 nt
Filed under: uncultured bacterium
Lineage: Bacteria
Description: partial 16S ribosomal RNA
Rfam family: Bacterial small subunit ribosomal RNA
Source: RNAcentral
UACGGAGGGUGCAAGCGUUGUUCGGAAUUAUUGGGCGUAAAGCGCACGUAGGUGGUGGUUUAAGUCUCGUGUGAAAGCCUGCGGCUCAACCGCAGGAGGCCAUGGGAUACUGAACCGCUUGAGACAGGUAGAGGCCAGCGGAAUUCCGGGUGUAGCGGUGGAAUGCGUAGAGAUCCGGAAGAACACCAGCGGCGAAGGCGGCUGGCUGGGCCUGUUCUGACACUGAGGUGCGAAAGCGUGGGGAGCAAAC